AUGGCGCCCGAGGAGAAUGCGGGGACCGAACUCUUGCUGCAGAGUUUCGAGCGCCGCUUCCUGGCGGCGCGCACGCUGCGCUCCUUCCCCUGGCAGGGGGGCGGCGGGCGAGCGGAGAGGCCCGCGGGGCUCGCGGGAGUCCAGGGGCAGACGGGAUGGGUCUCCGUGCUGAAACCCCCGGCGCUCCUGCCACAGCUUAGAAGCAAAGUUAAGAGACUCAUCAGAUUCUGAGCUGCUGCGGGAUAUUUUGCAGAAGACUGUGAAGCAUCCUGUGUGUGUGUGAAGCACCCGCCGUCAGUCAAGAAAGCCCGGUGCUUUCUCUCAGAACUCAUCAAAAAGGACUGUCCUAGAGCUUGGCAGUGGUGCCGGCCUCACAGGCCUGGCCAUCUGCAAGAUGUACCGCCCCCGGGCAUUCAUCUUCAGUGACUGUCACAGCCGGGUCCUCGAGCAGCUCCGAGGGAAUGUCCUUCUCAAUGGCCUCUCAUUAGAGGCAGACAUCACUGCCAACUUAGACAGCCCCAGGGUGACAGUGGCCCAGCUGGACUGGGACGUAGCGACGGUCCAUCAGCUCUCUGCCUUCCAGCCAGAUGUUGUCAUUGCAGCAGACGUGCUGUAUUGCCCAGAAGCCAUCGUGUCGCUGGUCGGGAUCCUGCGGAGGCUGGCUGCCUGCUGGGAGCACCAGCAGUCUCCUGAGGUCUACGUGGCCUUUACCGUCCACAACCCAGAGACGUGCCAGCUGUUCACCACCGAGCUAGGCCGGGCUGGGAUCAUAUGGGAAGCGGAAGCUCAUCAUGACCAGAAACUGUUUCCCUAUGGAGAGCACUUGGAGAUGGCAAUGCUGAACCUCACACUGUAGGACUCACACACGACUCCAACGGGAUUGUGAGAAUCAAGUCAAUCUCAUGGGAAGAAUUUUUAUAUGGGAAAGCGGAUAAAACUUUCAUUGUACUGGAAUGUUUGGAGAAUGUUAAAUUCCAAAUCAGAAACCACAAACUGCCCUCUAAUAAGACAUCGGCUAUCUAA
Long non-coding RNA from Homo sapiens (human), 1023 nucleotides. Ensembl annotates it as family with sequence similarity 86 member D, pseudogene. Its record names the gene FAM86DP. NCBI's taxonomy places the organism in Eukaryota, Metazoa, Chordata, Mammalia, Primates, Hominidae. The record is from Ensembl.